This is a long non-coding RNA of Lathyrus oleraceus (garden pea), 913 nucleotides long. RefSeq lists it as uncharacterized. The transcript is spliced from 2 exons. Lineage: Eukaryota; Viridiplantae; Streptophyta; Magnoliopsida; Fabales; Fabaceae. The record is from RefSeq and is a predicted model, not a curated record.
UAGCAAGGCUAUUGAGCAUGGAUUGUUUGGCCUAAGAGGGGGGUUAGAGAGGGGAAAGGAGAAACACACCCUCAUCCCAUACUACGCCCUCUGACCUAUGCUCUCCUUCAUCUUUCAAUUCCCCACUUCACCUGAAAUUGCCCUGUUGCGCCAAAAAUCGCCUUCGGCGAUGGUGAAGCCCAUAACCAAUCCUAACUAACAUCAAACUAACCAUUUCCUUACCCUCUAUCCUUCUAUGACCUUUGAUUAUCCUAUAACUCAACCUAAUCACUAAAAUCCUAGCCUAAUCAUAAACCCUAAAUUUUUUAGAAUUCAAAUUAAAUAUUCAUGGAGCUCAGAUUCAAGCCAUGGACUUAGGGCUUUUGCUCAGCGCGUCAUACACAAAAACAAGGUAACAAUAUCUUGAAGAACAAAUGAGGAAUCGUACUUACUCACAGAGCUGAGGAAUGCCCUGGUUAGAGUUGCAAACACGCUAAAGAUAAAGAUAAAAAAAGACCAUAUGAGAGAUGCCAAUGCUCAGGUUUUGGUAGCAGACUGGUUUGAAGUCAUGGUUUAUGGCAUAAGGUUGAACAUAAUGCAACUUUGGCAUGAAGGCAACAUGAAGAUGAAUGAAUCAUAAUUGUAAAUGGUGCAAUUGCUUGAAGAUGAAUGUAGAUGUUUGGAGAUAACUUGGAAAUAGGCCUAGGGUUAGAAGUAGGUCUUAGGAACUUGGUCAAACUUUGCUCAACUGUUUGACCAAAAGUCAAUAGUUGACCAAAAGUCAAUUGCGGAUCAAUCUUGAUUUUUUUUCAUGUAUUUUCAAUUCUGGUAUUUUUUUUGUAAUGUACUUUUGAAUAUUUGAAUGGACUUUGACUUUGUAAGGUUGACAUUCCCUUGUAACUUGUUCUUUAGGAAAUAAAGUAUUUUCCCUCCA